GGCCCACACAUCUUUCAACAAUGUCUGCAGGGUGCCAGGAGUUGAAACUCAUAAACUAUGCUGACAUCAGUACACUUUACUGCAGAAAUUCAUUGCAUCAGCUCCAAGAAUAGGCAAAGUAGCAGCAACACUUCAUUAAAGGACACUGGAGAGGGGUAAGCAUGCUAAGAAGUGAGAUGGAUUUAACCAGCAACUCACGGCAAAGGUUUGGGAAGGAGAAGGUAUAAAAGAUAUUCCUGGGUAAAUUAGGAAAAUUAGCACUUGGCCUAGAUUUUAAAAGUUACAAAACAGCUGAAAUAAUGAUAUUGUGUUUUGCUGGAGAACUUCAAAAUUCUUAGGAAAUUCAUGCUGGAAAUCUUAAGGGUGUCUUGCCUAACAAUAAGUGUCUGCAACUUUUUAUGACAAUGAAAAAGUGGGGAGGAAUGAAAAAAAAUGGCAAAAUGUUAACUGCUGCAUAUAGAUGAUGGGUACAUGAAUAUUCAUUAAAUUAUUUAAUUCUUUCAGCUUUUAAA
Pan troglodytes (chimpanzee) is the source of this 512-nucleotide long non-coding RNA. RefSeq lists it as uncharacterized. NCBI's taxonomy places the organism in Eukaryota, Metazoa, Chordata, Mammalia, Primates, Hominidae. The record is from RefSeq and is a predicted model, not a curated record. The transcript is spliced from 3 exons.